CUUUCUACAUUGUCAA
This 16-nucleotide small RNA is filed under the name Arabidopsis thaliana (thale cress). Its description in RNAcentral is "ATSL070200". The record is from RNAcentral. Lineage: Eukaryota; Viridiplantae; Streptophyta; Magnoliopsida; Brassicales; Brassicaceae.